AUGCCUGAGUUGGAAGAGAUUGUCUCGACGGCCGACAGGGCAGGCUCGCCGCCGCCGCCACCGCUAUGGUUUCUCGUCUUCCUGGCCCUCGGCCUCCACGCCGUCGUUGUAUCCACCGCGACCUUCCUCGCGUGGAUGUAUCAUGCGUUCCUACGGUGGGGGAAGGACCUGGGCCUGCGCUACGACGCGUGGUCGGUGGUCAUCGGUGCCACCGACGGCAUCGGUCGCACGCUGGCGCUCGAGCUCGCGCGCAUGGGGCUCCACCUCGUCCUCGUCGGCCGGAACCCUGCCAAGCUAUCCCGCAUCAGCGAGAAGGCCAAGGAUGCGGCUCCGUCCAAGAGCGUGGUGUUCGACCUUGCCGGCAAUGCGACAGAGCUUUCGCUGGGCGCGGCGAGGGUGGCGGCGGCCGUGAAGGGGCUCGACAUGGGCCUCUUGGUGAACAACGCCGGUGCGACAUACCCUUGCGCGACCUACUUCCACGAGGUGGAGACCCCGGUGUGGGAGGUCGUGGUGCGGGUGAACAUGGAGGCGGCCACGCGGAUCUCGCGCGCCAUCGUGCCAGCGAUGGCGGGCAAGGGGAGGGUCGCCAUCAUCAACGUUGGGUCCGGGUCGUCCGUGGUGGUGUCGGUGUUCCCGCUCUACGCUGUGUACGCGGCCGGGUGGAGCACAUUCUCAAUCGGCGCGCUCCGCCUGCUCGAGGCCGUCCGCCUCUCUGCCAAGACCAAUCCCAUGCGCGGGCUCCUCGGAGAUGUUCGGGUCCACGCCGCCGUCGCAGAGCGAGGCCACGCCCUUCUACCCGCGGGUCACCCUACACGGCUGCCAAGGUCGUCACGCACUGGUACACCGUCAACUAUGCGGCCUCUUCGCUUGCAACGGCGUGCUCUUCAACCACGAGUCCCCCCGCCGCGGCGAGAAAUUCAUCACCCGCAAGAUCACCCAUGCCAUCGGCCGCAUCAAGGUGGGGCUUGGGGGUGGAAACGGCUGGGAAAAUUUUCAUCCCUGGGCCAAAAUCUUCGCCGACAGCCCCCCCAGGUGGCAAAAAAAUGCCACCUGGGGGGGGGGGCUCAAUGGCUGGAGAUGCUCUAA
Molecule: ribosomal RNA, 1086 nt
Filed under: Triticum aestivum (bread wheat)
Lineage: Eukaryota; Viridiplantae; Streptophyta; Magnoliopsida; Poales; Poaceae
Description: partial small subunit ribosomal RNA
Source: RNAcentral